CUUCCACAAAAUCUGGGACCCUUGGAUUAUGAGGCAUAUAAUAGGGGUGUAGGACACGGGCCGGGGCGUGCGGCCACUCCAGGACUUCCCUCCACCCCUCCCUUCCCCCCCUCGCGAUACCAUACCCCCACACACAAGCUACCCAUAACAUACCCACGAUAAAACAUACCCACAGGAAACACCACAAAACCAAGAUGACAAAAGACACGCUAACCACCCCUGACCACCAAACCAAGACGCAGCUAACACCACAAACACAACACAGACGUAACCAGGACGAUGCUACUAACAGAAGCGACC
Pelobates cultripes (western spadefoot toad) is the source of this 300-nucleotide non-coding RNA. The record is from the annotation of a GenBank genome assembly. NCBI's taxonomy places the organism in Eukaryota, Metazoa, Chordata, Amphibia, Anura, Pelobatidae.